UACUGUUAAAGUUUGUUUAGGAGAUAGCUAGAGUUAUUUCGAUUUUCAGUCCCUGUGGAUACGAUACUCGACUUGCUAUUUCUGUGCUACAAUUACACUGUUUAGUUGCAGUUUUUGUUGCUAAGAAAUUAGUGAUCAACUUUUUGGCGCCGUUGCCGGGGACUGUUUUAGAAAUUGCUUUAAUAUUUCCGAUAGGACUUAGUAGUACUUCAGGCGUUUACUGUUUAUUUUUAUUUUUAUUUUUCUAAUUCUCGUUUUUUUUUUCAGGCACUGCAUACGAUGGCUACUAAUGAACAGAUUCGUGCUCUACAGGAGCAGCUGCAACAGCUGUUAGACGCUCAAGCUGCUAAAGAGGCUCAGAAACAACCAGCCAUCAAUGAAGCGUUCAUUCCGCAGUAUGUGUAUCAGGAGCCUCCACGAGUGAACGUUAACAACUUUGAGCUGAAAACGGGUUUGAUCACGAUGGUCCAACAGAGCCAAUAUGGUGGACAAGCGAUCGAAGACCCUAAUGCGCACCUGGCGCAUUU
This 527-nucleotide long non-coding RNA is filed under the name Salvia miltiorrhiza (redroot sage). RNAcentral describes it as "long non-coding RNA (SMIL_LNC003552)". The record is from RNAcentral. Lineage: Eukaryota; Viridiplantae; Streptophyta; Magnoliopsida; Lamiales; Lamiaceae.